UUGGAUUCCUGGCCUGGGGUAGCCGGUCCGCCUUGCAAAAGGUGCGCACUGAGCGGCCUCGGCCAUCCUUGGGAAGAGCAGUCCUGGCAUUCAGUUGUCGGGGUUGGGAUUCCCGACGUUUACUGUGAAAAAAUCAGAGUGUUCAACGCAGGCUUACGCCUUGAAUACAUUAGCAUGGAAUAAUGAGAUAGGACCUUGGCGGUCUAUUUUGUUGGUUUGCACGCCGAGGUAAUGAUUAAAAGGGACGGUUGGGGUUCUUCGUAUUCAAUUGUCAGAGGUGAAAUUCUUGGAUUUAUGGAAGACGAACUGCUGCGAAAGCGUCGAACAAGGACGUUCUCAUUAAUCAAGAACGAAAGUUAGGGGAUCGAAGAUGAUUAGAUACCAUCGUAGUCUUAACCAUAAACUAUGCCGAUUCAGGAUUGGCGGUCGUUUGUUCUCGACUCCGUCGCACUGUAUGAGAAAUCAAAUCUUUGGGUUCCGGGGGGAGUAUGGUC
RNAcentral lists this ribosomal RNA (494 nucleotides) under Pelagophyceae sp. RCC5679. RNAcentral describes it as "SSU rRNA". It matches the Rfam family "Eukaryotic small subunit ribosomal RNA", at positions 634 to 1130 of the family's 1831-position model. Lineage: Eukaryota; Pelagophyceae. The record is from RNAcentral.